RNAcentral lists this non-coding RNA (136 nucleotides) under Methylosinus sp. RNAcentral describes it as "TPP sequence". It matches the Rfam family "TPP riboswitch aptamer (THI element)". From Rfam's summary of the family: Vitamin B(1) in its active form thiamin pyrophosphate (TPP) is an essential coenzyme that is synthesised by coupling of pyrimidine and thiazole moieties in bacteria. The previously detected thiamin-regulatory element, thi box was extended, resulting in a new, highly conserved RNA secondary structure, the THI element, which is widely distributed in eubacteria and also occurs in some archaea. RNAcentral also lists the same sequence under 1 other name. Lineage: Bacteria; Pseudomonadati; Pseudomonadota; Alphaproteobacteria; Hyphomicrobiales; Methylocystaceae. The record is from RNAcentral.
CUCCUCGCCCGGGGGAGCCUCGCCCGGCCGCUCCGGCGGCCGCAGGAGGCUGAGAGGCCGAUGAGCGACAGCGGCUCGGCGACCCUUCGAACCUGAUCCAGUUCGCGCUGGCGUAGGGAGGUCGCAUGCACCCGAU